UACUGAAAUAGAAGACCCACUCUGCUGGGCUUCACUUUUCAAAUUCAAACACCAUGUGCACCGUCUGGGUGAACACCUUGCCUUGUGCAAGGCUACUAGCCCUGUAUUUUUUUUAAAAACACAGGUCAAUGCAUGUGCUAUACAUAUAAAGAAAUAAAACUUUCAACAACGGAUCUCUUGGCUCCCGCAUCGAUGAAGAACGCAGCGAAAUGCGAUAAGUAAUGUGAAUUGCAGAACUCAGUGAAUCAUCGAAUCUUUGAACGCACCUUGCACCCCAUGGUAUUCCGUGGAGUAUGUCUGUCUGAGUGUCAUGAAACUCUCAACCCUCUCACUUUUGCUUGUCAAGGUGCUUGGGCUUGGAUCAUGAGUGCCUGCUGGACCUACGCAUCAGCUCACUCUAAAUGUAUUAGCGGUUUGCUUGUCGUAUCCCUGCAGCUAGAACCGGCGUAAUAGGAUUUAUUCGCUGGGGUGUUGCGGUCGUGAUGGUUGCAUGGCUUACUGCUCUUGCCAUAUAUUCUAAGUGUUUGGCCUCAGAUCAGGCAGGACUACCCGCUGAACUUAA
This 562-nucleotide ribosomal RNA is filed under the name uncultured Atractiellales. RNAcentral describes it as "eukaryotic LSU rRNA". The stretch from base 158 to 311 matches the Rfam family "5.8S ribosomal RNA". The record is from RNAcentral. Lineage: Eukaryota; Fungi; Basidiomycota; Atractiellomycetes; Atractiellales.